AACCCAACUCAAGAAAAAGCUAAAUAUAGUCGGUUAUCAGUAAGAAGCAAAUAGGAAUCAAAGUCCAGGAAUUUCUGCUUCUUAGUUCUACGAUCAGCACCUGCCCAAACUAGGAACAUUUUUCAAUACUGUUGCUGUAUGUUGACACCAUGAGUUUUUUUUUUUUUCCCUCUCACAGAAGCUUUCAGCAGCAAACGGCUUUCCUUCUAGAGGACUCUACAUUAAAUCGGGGCAAAUAUCAGGGCAAACUAAAUUCCUCCCUCAUCACUUCCCUGGGUUGGUGACCUACACAGAAGAGCAGAGCAGUAACUGGACCAGCCAGAUCCAGCCCAGCUGAGCCCACGCACAGGAAGCGUGGGCUGUGAAGUGGCCACACCCCCAGCCGCUGCUCCAGAAGGCUCUCCCCGCACAGGCCUAGCCUCACAAGCGUGUGAGUUGGGAACACGCCACCGAGGGAGGCGGAGAGGCCGCGGACCACUUCUCCUGCAGCAGCAAGGCGCUUCCGGUGAUGUGCACGGCAAGGCGUCCCUGAAGCCAACAGCCCAUUACAGGGAGAGUUAACCCAUAAAGCGGGAUGGAUCACAAGAAGGUAAUUCAACUGCAAGACUCUUGACAACAGCAUUAAUCUAAUACUGCUUGGGAGGGAAAUCACUUUUUUUUGGUUUGGCGUUUUCAUUAACAGAACCACCCGACUGUCACUUAAAAAGCUGCGUCAGGAAAAACAGCCUCUCACGUGGUCUUUACUAGACAGAAUGACCUGACCUCGCUUUAUAUAAACCACAGAAUUGCUCGUUGAGCCACAGGCUGCAGGCCAUGUAGGCUAAACUUGGGUUUGUGAUGGCAUUCCAGAUACAAAUGCCAUUUACUGAUUGGGGGUUUUUCCAGCAAGGGUGGCUCGUGCGUAAGGGGACAGGAUGGAAAAAUCCUGAACAGGAGUUCCCACUGGGGCUCAGCGGGUGAAGAACCCAACGCUGUCUCUGUGAGGAUAUGGGUUGGACCCCUGGCCUGACCCUGUGUUGCCCUGGCUGCGGUGUAGGCCUCAGCGGCAGCUCUGAGACACGUGACCCGGGAACUUCCAUAUGCCACAAGUGCAUAAAAAGAAAAACCAAAAGCAAAAAAAACCCCUGGACAGCAUUCAGAGGGACACCACUUCAGAGCGCUUCUCAUGGGCAUUAGAGGGAAGCGGCGUUAGCGGGAAGCUCACCGGAACCUUCCCCUGCUCUUUUUCUUUUCAGGAGCUCCAGUCCCAUUUGGUUUAAACAAACAGCUCGGAGUCACAGAAAGCACCAGGUUUGCAUCUGAGAGCUGUGUUCACGCCCGCUUCUUUCACAAGAUGCUGAUGGGUACGCGAUGAGCCCACUCUACCUGGGCUAUAGUUUGAUCCGCUCAGUGUUCAUAACCUGGGGGAUGAGAAAACACCUCCCAGAUCCACCAAGGGAAACGGUACCACUGCAUUAAAUAGGCAAGAAGUUCAGGAUAAGCAUACUUUAGGGCUUUACACAAUGGAAUGACGCUGCUGCACGACAGACAACAAAACACAUAACGUGCAUGUAUGAAUAUGAUGGAUGCGUUCUUUGCAUUCGCAGCAAGAAAGUGGAAACAACUUAAGCUUCUUUUCUUGUGUCCUGAAGUAAAAUUCAUGAAGAACUUCUCCAAACAUUCCUCACCAAAACCCUCUCACACUUACAAAGAGGUUCUAAAACUAGAGGUGAAGCAAAACUCUCUAGAGCUGUGGCUCAGACACUUGAGCAUCACUUCAGAGUCAUUUCAAAUACUCAGGAGAUUUGUAUACACAUUAAUGUUUGAGAAGCACCGGCCUAUAGCACUUUUUCAAUUAAGCUUUUCCUUUUUUUUCUGUAAAAAAAAAUUUUUUUUUUAACUGAGGUAUAGGUUUGUUUUGUUUUUAUGGCCCCACCUGCAGCAUAUGGAAGUUCCCAGUCCAGGGGUCGAAUUGGAGCUGCAGCUGAGGCCUAUGCUGAAGCUUGUGGCAACACCAGAUCCUUAACCCACGGAGCGAGGCCAGGGAUCAACCCUCCAUCCUCACGGAAACAAUGUCGGGGUCUUAGCCCAAGGAGCCGCAACGGGAACUCCUCGAGUAAGCUUUAAUUACAUACAAGAGCUAGACUCUGAAUGAACUCCAUGUUACAGUUCAUUAGAACAGGGUGGAGGCUGCUUUGUCAGAUACGAGGAGGCUUUCCUUCAUCUGUGGCUUGACGCUACCUAAGCAACCAUCGCCAGUGUCGGGGUUUAGCACACCACACGCACUGAAGGCAAAGGGUACGGGGAUGUUCUCAGGUCGUCAGCAUUAAUGUCUCAACAGGACUUACUUAAGAAACUAGUCCUCAAAGUCAGAACUUCUAAAUUUUGUCGUCAGUGCUUCUCAAGCUUUGGCAGGCCUGAGAAUCACCAGGGGAAUUUGUUUUAAAAGGAAGAUAGUAAGGUCUCACCACCCAGGAGUCCUAUUAGGUUCAUCAGGAGUGAUUCUAGCAAUUCUAAGAAACGUGACAUCGGGGCUGGGAUUAGAAGGCACCCAGGGCACAUUUAGGGAAGUACUUACCCUCAGGUGCAAGCAAAUGCAAGACUGCCACCUGAGCAAACCUGACUGUAUGUGCCUCCUUAAAUGUCACAUUCAGGGCAUCUCGCUGGACUCAUCCUGGUCUUGGGCUUGUAUUGGGUGAGUCCAUGGACCAGCAGCACCAGCACAGUCUGGAGCCUUUUUAGAAAUACAGAAUCGUGGCCUAACUCCAGGACCACUGAAUCAGAAUCUGCAGGUUAACAAGAUUCUCAAGUUACUCUUUCAUUAAUUUUUUUUAGGGCCGCACCCGUGGCACAUGGAGGUUCCCAGGCUAGGGUCCAAUCGGAGCUACAGCUGCUGGCCUACGCCACAGCCACAGCAACGCGGGAUCCUCAACCCACUGAGUGAGGCCAGGGAUCAAACCCACGUCCUCAUGGAUGCUAGUCAGCUUCAUUACCGCUAAGCCAUGACGGGAAAUCCUCUCAGGUUAUUUCUUGUGCACACUGAAGUUUGAGAAACACUGAAAACAAGGGGAUGCCCAAACAAAGUCUUGCAACUGACACGAAAAUGCUAAGCUCUUUGUAACACAACAUGAUACAGGAACGUGAGCAGCGGCUGCCCACUGAGCUCAAAGGACAGCCCUACACUGACCAGCAGUUUUGUCGCUCUCUCUUAACCCCUGGCCUGAAUAACGACAUGAAAGAGAUGCUUGUUAAUCUGCAGGUGGAAUAAAACAAGAGGCUGCUGGUGCAAAAAGAAAGAACCAGGCCAUCUUGACAGGCCGGAGGACAGGUCGCACGCUGAACUAUAAUAAGUGUAGGAAAAAUUUUACACUUAAGCUAAAAAUUUCAAUAAUGAAUGUAUAUAAGAUGUGUGACAGUUUGCCUGGCAGCAAAACCUAUGAAAGAUCCUGGGAAUAAGUCCGGAAGUAAAUCAUGCAUUUAAUAUAAUGGCAUUUCACAUCAGUGGGAGAAAAUGAAUAAUUUAAUAAAUGGUGUUGGAAUAAUCGGGUAGCUAACCGGGAAAAAAAAUGAAAGUGUACCUCCACCCGCACGUCUUACAGCAAAAUGAAUUCCCGAAGGAUCGAAGAGUUAAACAUAAAAGCAAAUCUAUUACAGUAUGAGAAGAAAAUAUGAGGAAAACUUUCAAAAAAUAACCUCAGAGUGGGUGAGGCCUCUCUAAGCAAGAACAACAUCCGAAUGAUAUAAACAAAACCCAGAGGCUCUUUUUUAAAAGUGGAGACCUUUGACUGUAUCAAGAAAAGCACCUGCUGAGAACUAUGUCUAGAUACUCAUGCUGCAACAGAACGAAGGGUGGGGAAAAAAAAAUGUAAUGUAUACAUGUAAGGAUAACUUGAUCCCCUUGCUGUACAGUGGGAAAAUAAAAUUGAAAAAAAGAAAAAAAGAAAAAAAGAAAAGCACCUGCAUGGUAAAUCCCACUGUGAGCAAAACCCGGAGAAAGAUGACAAAGGGGGGUUACAACUGGCAUCAAAAACACAGUUGCCCUCCUGGGGAAGAGGGAGAAGACGAGUCUCGCGCUGCUGUAAAUGGCUGAGUCGGGGUUAAUGGAAGACAUUUCUGUGAGUUCAAUGUCAGCUGAACGUAUGGAAGACCUUUCUAAGAAUCAGGCCAAGGCGAACCAGCCAACUUCUAGGAAUUUCUGGAAGGGAGGACCACGCAAGACGGGAACUCAGCAACAUGAUCUUUGAGGUUCCGUCAGACUCUAAAAUGAUGCCGUUCCAACCCAAGGAUGACAUCACCUCCGGAAGAGUUCAGAGCACACAAGCAAAGCCGCGAGGCCCUCUCACCUCCCAAAGGACCGGAGACCACUGUGCUCGGGGCUCUAACUUUUCACUCAAAGCACAAUGUCCUGGGGCCGGGGGCAGGGGGUGGGGGAGGAGGAAUGGCGGGUGUACACGACUUACCCACUCAUGACUCCAGCACUUGGGAGUAUUUUGAGUUUUUGGUGGUUCGGGCUGGGCAAUCCUAUUUCAUUCCCAUUCCUUCCCUUGGCUCUC
RNAcentral lists this long non-coding RNA (4532 nucleotides) under Sus scrofa (pig). RNAcentral describes it as "lncRNA (ENSSSCG00000048633.2)". Lineage: Eukaryota; Metazoa; Chordata; Mammalia; Artiodactyla; Suidae. The record is from RNAcentral.